UACGUAGGGUGCAAGCGUUAAUCGGAAUUACUGGGCGUAAAGCGUGCGCAGGCGGUUAUGUAAGACAGGUGUGAAAUCCCCGGGCUUAACCCUGGGAACUGCAUUUGUGACUGCAUAGCUAGAGUACGGUAGAGGGGGAUGGAAUUCCGCGUGUAGCAGUGAAAUGCGUAGAUAUGCGGAGGAACACCGAUGGCGAAGGCAAUCCCCUGGACCUGUACUGACGCUCAUGCACGAAAGCGUGGGGGAGCAAACAGG
RNAcentral lists this ribosomal RNA (255 nucleotides) under uncultured bacterium. RNAcentral describes it as "partial 16S ribosomal RNA". It matches the Rfam family "Bacterial small subunit ribosomal RNA", at positions 524 to 776 of the family's 1533-position model. The record is from RNAcentral.